CACGUAUCAGAAAGUGUGUGUUAAAUGUCUAUAUAUUUCCACCGAGCAGCAGCCCCUCCUGCCCCGCUCUCUUCCUCCCGGAUCUGCUCUUUGUCUAACAGAAUAGUUCCAGUAAGCCAUGAAAUUUAGAUCCUCCUCAAGUCAGUUGGGAAGAGCUUUAUUACCCAAAAACUGAAGCACUCCAUGUGAUUUAAACGGGUCAAGAACUGCCUCAUCUUUAUUUAGCCACUCUCUCA
This 236-nucleotide long non-coding RNA is filed under the name Danio rerio (zebrafish). Its description in RNAcentral is "si:ch73-216b13.2 (ENSDARG00000104553.2)". The record is from RNAcentral. Lineage: Eukaryota; Metazoa; Chordata; Actinopteri; Cypriniformes; Danionidae.